AAUGAGAUGUCUGAUUAAAGAAUUAUUUUGAUAGAAUAAAGCAAGCACUCCACUGCUCUCAUUA
Molecule: transfer RNA, 64 nt
Filed under: Melasis buprestoides
Lineage: Eukaryota; Metazoa; Arthropoda; Insecta; Coleoptera; Eucnemidae
Description: tRNA-Ile
Source: RNAcentral